This 465-nucleotide ribosomal RNA is filed under the name uncultured bacterium. RNAcentral's name for it is "partial 16S ribosomal RNA". It matches the Rfam family "Bacterial small subunit ribosomal RNA", at positions 338 to 795 of the family's 1533-position model. The record is from RNAcentral.
CCUACGGGAGGCAGCAGUGGGGAAUUUUGCGCAAUGCUCGUAAGAGUGACGCAGCGACGCCGCGUGAAUGACGAAGGCCUUCGGGUCGUAAAGUUCUUUCGACAGGGAAGAAAAUGCCUAUAAGUAACUGUGUAUGUAUUGACGGUACCUGUAUAAGCAGCCCCGGCUAACUCCGUGCCAGCAGCCGCGGUAAUACGGAGGGGGCGAGCGUUGUUCGGAGUGAUUGGGCGGAAAGAGCACGUAGGCGGUGUUGUAAGUCAUUAGUCAAAGACUAGAGCUCAACUUUAGUAAGGCUAGUGAUACUAUAAUACUAGAGUAUCAGAGAGGAUUGCAGAAUUCCUGGUGUAGCGGUGAAAUGCGUAGAUAUCAGGAGGAAUACCGUUAGCGAAGGCGGCAAUCUGGCUGGAAACUGACGCUGAGGUGCGAAAGCGUGGGUAGCAAACAGGAUUAGAUACCCCAGUAGUC